CCUACGGGUGGCUGCAGUGGGGAAUCUUGCGCAAUGGGCGAAAGCCUGACGCAGCCAUGCCGCGUGAAUGAUGAAGGUCUUAGGAUUGUAAAAUUCUUUCACCGGGGACGAUAAUGACGGUACCCGGAGAAGAAGCCCCGGCUAACUUCGUGCCAGCAGCCGCGGUAAUACGAAGGGGGCUAGCGUUGCUCGGAAUUACUGGGCGUAAAGGGAGCGUAGGCGGACAUUUAAGUCAGGGGUGAAAUCCCGGGGCUCAACCUCGGAAUUGCCUUUGAUACUGGGUGUCUUGAGUAUGAGAGAGGUGUGUGGAACUCCGAGUGUAGAGGUGAAAUUCGUAGAUAUUCGGAAGAACACCAGUGGCGAAGGCGACACACUGGCUCAUUACUGACGCUGAGGCUCGAAAGCGUGGGGAGCAAACAGGAUUAGAUACCCGUGUAGUC
This 440-nucleotide ribosomal RNA is filed under the name uncultured Brevundimonas sp. RNAcentral's name for it is "bacterial SSU rRNA". It matches the Rfam family "Bacterial small subunit ribosomal RNA", at positions 338 to 795 of the family's 1533-position model. The record is from RNAcentral. Lineage: Bacteria; Pseudomonadati; Pseudomonadota; Alphaproteobacteria; Caulobacterales; Caulobacteraceae.